AGUGAGUUCAUCUUUUUUUUGGUGAGCAUUGAGCAAGCAAACGGGCUCGCGAUUUCCUGUGAGACUGGUCGUCGCUACAAAAUCGCAAUACCUACACGAUUCGACGGCCACAAUUACAAGCUCCACAGGAGGAAGCCCAGCAUCAGCAUCGAUCUAAAAUUCGAUUUCACCGUCGUCGCCAGAGUCACCUCUGCAGGUGCGAAGAGUACACUUGGCAGCAAGAUAGGGUGUUCCGCGAGAGCAAGCGAGACGGAGCACAUCGAAAUUCGAAAGAUUCGCGUUUCAUCGCACGCCCGCACGCAACAAUAGGACAAUCGUACGGGCGCGAAAGAGACAGCAAGUGACGCCACAAAACUUCACAGCAGCAACAGGCGAGCUCGCGCAACCGCCAUUUUGUUGGGAAGAAUUGGAUCGCCGUCGCUGAUCAAUACUGUAAAAGUGUUUAAUAUAACAGUGAAUCUUGUAAUACAUAGGUAGUUAAUAGUGUUCCUGUAAAGUUAUUAUUGCGUUAUUAACGUAAAGUACAGGUAAUAUUUGUUUUAAGAAUCGACAAGUUUAGCGAACAAUGGAAGACCUAAAGAAAAAAGUCGCCGCACGCGGUUAUGUGAAAGACAGUUACACUGCGAAGGCCUACCAACUUGACCGGGAUAUGAAUGCUAAGCCGCAAUUGGAGGAUUUUCUCAAUUACAUUGAGAACCGAGCCAACGCACUGGAGAAUGUCGAGCAGGGACGUCAACCCCAUCCUGGUAAUAGUAGCAGUAAGGUAGCAGCAGUCGCCGCUACAGGAGCAACAUGCACUUACUACGCUAUUGCCCAACGAGCAGUGCAUGACCAUCAGCCUGCCCAGCCACAGCAACCAGUCAUCAGCUGUGCCCCGGAGUGCUGCUCAUCCACCACAACAGCCUAGUAGCACACAGCUACAUGUCUUCAACACAUACUUCGGGCACAUUGUAGGAGGGAAUCUGCCACCUAAGUGUUUCAGAAGGAGACUCGGCAGAUUUAAUCGGCUUUGCUGACGCUUCGAGUAAGACAGCCUACGGAUGCUGUGUGUACCUGCGAGUCACAGACCAAACAGGUACAACGAAAUUGCAUCUACUUUGUUCGAAGUCGCGAAUCAACCCUAUCCAAAAGAAAGGCAUGACUGUGCCAAGGCUUGAAUUGAAUGCUGCACUCUUGCUAUCAAAAUUGGUUUUGAGGACUCAUGAUACACUCAGAGUCAAAAUUAACAUCAGGCAUGUUUGUUUAUUCAGCGACUCGCAAAUCGUUCUUGCAUGGCUAAACACUGAGCUAACAAAACUUCAAGCUUACGUAUCGAACAGAGUAAGUGUAAUUCGUCAAAACACAUCUGGAUACAGUUGGCAUUAUGUCAAUACGCAUGACAAUCCUGCUGAUCUCAUUAGCCGAGGCGUCAACCCGAAUGAGCUGAGUAGCUGCGAUAUUUGGUGGAAUGGCCCUAAGUUCCUGCAAAACAGUGAGUACAAGUUUGCUGCUUAUAGCUCACCAGCUGAGUCACUCACAGAGGAGCGCUGCUUAGCUCCUUCCAGCAACUUGCUGUGCCAAAAUCCCAAUCCGCUUGACUAUGUGUUGAAGCGCUUGCAUAAUUACUCUAAUAUAAAUAAAAUAGUAAGGCUAUUAGCAUACAUAUUGCGAUUUUUAAACAAUAUUAACAAAAAUAAUUCUAAAAUAAUUACAAACUAUCUGCAAAGUUCUGAGUUAGAUAAUGCAUUAAUGUUACUUAUUAAAUAUGAACAAAGUAUAUAUUUUAAAUCUGAAAUCAAAGCAAUAAGCAAUAAUAAGAGCUUGAAGGGGAAUCUAGUUGAGUUGCAUCCCUUUCUUGACAAUAGGGGUCUAUUGCGCGUUGGUGGCAGGCUGCAUUAUGCUAAUAUAGCUUAUUCACAAAAACAUCCUGUCAUACUACCUAAGGGCUCUUCAAUUACUAGCUUGCUUAUAAGGUGUGAACAUGAAAGGCUACUGCACGCAGGGCCUAAGCUUUUACUCUCGCAUCUCAAUCAAAGGUUUUGGAUUGUUAAUGGCUUAUUAGAAGUUAAGAAAGUAACUCACAAAUGUAUUGUAUGUUUCAGACAAAAGGCCUUAGCAGCCAAGCAACUGAUGGGCUCCUUGCCGGCUGCACGUGUAACAGCCACCAGCAGGCCAUUUGAGAAAGUCGGCGUGGAUUUCGCUGGGCCAAUUGAUGUGAAACUCUCUCGCGUAAGACGAUCUUUAAUAGGUAAAGGGUAUAUCUGUGUAUUCGUAUGUUUCGCGACAAAAGCAGUUCACUUAGAACUUGCAUCAGAUUUGACCACGGAAACCUUUCUUGCGUGCUUAAGGAGAUUUAUCUCCAGACGAGGUUUGCCCACCGAAAUUCACUGCGACAAUGCAAGUACAUACUUUUAAAAGUGCAAGGAGUCAAUUAGUUGAGCUCUACAAGCUGCAAGCUUCGCAGAGCCACCAAAUGCAGGUUCAAAGAUUUACCGCCGAGCGUGGGAUACAAUUUCACUUUAUACCAUGUUACUCGCCUACAUUUGGCGGGCUCUGGGAAGCGGCAGUUAAGAGCACGAAGUUUCACUUAAAAAGAAUAUUACAAAAAACUGUUCUAACUUAUGAACAGCUUAAUACUGUAUUAACUGAAAUCGAAGCAGUACUUAAUUCUAGGCCACUCUUACCUUUAUCUUCAAACUCAGAUGAUUAUUGUUAUUUAACACCUGGUCACUUUAUUAUAGGUAGUGCUUUGUCAAUGUAUCCUGAAAUAAAUGUAUGUAACAUUCCACAAAAUAGACUUAAGUUUUGGCAAUUAUGUAAUUCUUUAAAACAAUCCUUUUGGAAAGUGUGGCACCAAUGUUAUUUAAAUUUAUUACAAAACAGGCCUAAGUGGCGUGAUACAGUUUGUAAUGUUAAGUUAGGCAACUUAGUUAUUUUAAAAGAGGACAAUAUUCCUCCUAUGUCAUGGCCAAUGGCACGAAUUGUUAAAUUAUUUCCAGGACAUGAUGGAAAAAUUAGGGCUGUUGAUGUUAGGACACCAAAUGGGAAAACCCAUACCCGUGCCAUCAAUAAAAUUUGUUUACUGCCAAUAGAAUAUGAUGAUAGUACUUAAGAAAUUGUAUUAAUGUUUAAUAAUAAGUCAUAUUUGCAAAACCAUUUAAGUUAUAGUUUUUUACUCUUAUGUAGUGUAAAACAUAAUUGUAAGUUAUUGUAUAAGUAAUAAAUAAAUACAUAGCAUAAACAAUAACUAGAUAAAUAGCAUAAAUAAUAAUGUAACCUUCACUCUAGUUUCUUUUAAGAUUUAUUUCAAACAAAUGUUCUAUGAUUGUUAUUUGUGUUUUCUGUGAGGCCGCAGCAUGUUGGAUUUUAUAUUUUAUAAAUUGCAACAUUAAGUUAAUUUUAAUUAUAUUUUUGUACCGUGGCAACAUCGUUCUCUCUCUUGCUCUGCGACACGGACCGAAUACACGUAAUUAUUUGCAAUCGCCGUUUUAUUUCCUGAAUCUCCUGCAUCAGCAGCCCACCAGCCCUAUCGACACACUACACCGCUGCACAAUCUCCGAAUCCUAUCAGGUAUACACUACAACUUUGACUCAGCAAUUAACGAAGUCUCAACAUCCCAGCAUGGAAAUUAUUUUAACAUUUUAGUGCAAUUUUCUUUCCAGCUAUUUGUCUGGUAAAAAUAACCCCACCCAAAACAAAAAUGUGAAAGGCUGCCAAGUUCGAAAAUAUGGGAAUGCUUCGCCUAUAAAAGAAGUGAGAUCUGAAUAAGUACCAAGUUCCAUACACAUACCUCAGUUAAAAAUAGUUACAGGAAUGCACACUUGAUUUGCCGCAGUUUGGAAAGUAGAUUCUGAGUAAAUAUCAUAUUAAAUACCUAAAAUUCUAAUACAGAACGCAAACCUGUUUUUCCAGCAGUUUUCUGAUAACAUCCAAACUAAUAUUAUAAAUGCAAAAGUAACUCUGUCUGUCUGUCUUUUCUUCACGCCUAAACUACUGAACCGAUUUGUGUGAAAUUUGGUACAGACAUAGUUUGAAACUUGAGAAAGAACAUAGGAUAGUUUUUAUUACAAAAAAAAUAUUAUUUUUAUAAUUAAAAUUAUUCCGGACAUAUAGCGCCAUCUAUUGGUCAAAUCAAAAAUCUGCUGGUAGUCACUAUUCCACGCGAACGAAGUUGCGGGCAAAAGCUAGUUUUUUAUAAAUUUUCUGUACUUUUUAAUGAUGUUACUUGGCAAGUUUUAAUAGAAAAUUAUAUACUUGAUUCAUUGUGUUUAGUAGGUUUAUAACAAGGUGUGUGAAAACAAACAACAGGCAACAAAAAGCAGGUUCAAAAAUCAACUCCUAAAAAUGUGUGCGUUCGCGCAGCGGAAUGUUGUUGAAUUUAAAGAUUUUAAUUAUGCAGAUAAUUAGUGUAAGACGUCCUAUAAUUGUGUAUGGUAAAUAAAAAUUUGUGUAUGCAGCCAUUGUGGAGAAAUUCACCAAAAACAGAUUCCGCUGGGCGAACGUUGGCGAACGUUGUCCUGGCGGAACUUUUUUUAAUCCAUAGACUUUAGAAGAAAAGAGAUGUGUUCGAAAAUUAGUGUGUAUUUGUGUAUAAUUAAUUAUGUAUGAAUGAAAUCAGUGCAUGCAUAAACUUCGGAGAAAUUCAAGUUUCCGCUACGCGAACGUUUGGCCAUUAGCUAGUUUUCAUAUAAAGCGCUUACAUAGAGAGCUGUAGAUUUUUACAUACGUUGUUUUGAAUUUGUUUAUAUUUGUUUAAAAAACAGAUUCAGAAAAAGUCGUAGGGUUUAAAAGAUAAAAAUAUAAACGUAAAAUACACUUAUUAGGUCUUAGUUCUUAAAGUAUGCAGUUUGGGGUCUAGAUUUUCACGUUUACACAAACCUUGUAAGUGUCUCCAACAUGUUGCCAAGUAUCAAUGAUGUUUCGUUAGUAAUUAAAAAGUUAUAGGAUAUUUUACCAUGAACAGAUCACUGUUUACAAAGCAGUCGAAUAUCACGACGUUCUAAAGGAAUUGCAUGGUAAAAUGUAUGCCAAUAAUUAGUUUAAUCAUUCAACUAUUCACUUGCAAAAUUUCAUGUCAUUAAAUUCAGUAAUUAAAGAAAGACAAUUAAAAUAUCGAAACCCUACAUAAUCCGACCAAGUUCGGAUUGCUACAAAAAAGCGGCCGUGCCAUAUGUCUAAGCAACGUUCUUAACUUGGAAGGUUAGUAUAUUUAUUAAAAUGGUACAGUUGCGUAAACAAGCGUUAGGAAAAAAUAAAACAAUUGCAUUUCUUGAAUGAAAAAUAUUUUUUUAAUAAUAAUGCCACUAUCUACGACAUUUUAGUUAAAAUACAUAACGUUUAUUAACGUUAUUUUUAAUCACGUUGUCAAGUAAUUUAUGUAAGUAAUAAUAAUAAAAAUAUUUUUGUACACGGAUAUUUAAAUAGAAAAGUACUUGUUAAUUGAAGAUUUAUUUUUAUCGUAGAUAGUGGCAUUAUUAUUAAAAAAUAUUUUUCAAUCAAGAAAUACAAUUGUUUUAUUUUUUUCUAACGCUUGUGUACGCAACUGUACCAUAUUAAUAAAUACUAACCUACCAAGUUAAGAACGUUGCUUAGACAUAUGGCACGGCUGCUUUUGUAGCAAUCCGAACUUGGUCGGAUUAUGUAGGGUUUCGAUAUUUUAAUUGUCUUUCUUUAAUUACUGAAUUUAAUGACAUGAAAUUUUGCAAGUGAAUAGUUGAAUGAUUAAACUAAUUAUUGGCAUACAUUUUACCAUGCAAUUCCUUUAGAACGUCGUGAUAUUCGACUGCUUUGUAAACAGUGAUCUGUUCAUGGUAAAAUAUCCUAUAACUUUUUAAUUACUAACGAAACAUCAUUGAUACUUGGCAACAUGUUGGAGACACUUACAAGGUUUGUGUAAACGUGAAAAUCUAGACCCCAAACUGCAUACUUUAAGAACUAAGACCUAAUAAGUGUAUUUUACGUUUAUAUUUUAUCUUUUAAACCCUACGACUUUUUCUGAAUCUGUUUUUUAAACAAAUAUAAACAAAUUCAAAACAACGUAUGUAAAAAUCUACAGCUCUCUAUGUAAGCGCUUUAUAUGAAAACUAGCUAAUGGCCAAACGUUCGCGUAGCGGAAACUUGAAUUUCUCCGAAGUUUAUGCAUGCACUGAUUUCAUUCAUACAUAAUUAAUUAUACACAAAUACACACUAAUUUUCGAACACAUCUCUUUUCUUCUAAAGUCUAUGGAUUAAAAAAAGUUCCGCCAGGACAACGUUCGCCAACGUUCGCCCAGCGGAAUCUGUUUUUGGUGAAUUUCUCCACAAUGG
Molecule: long non-coding RNA, 6285 nt
Organism: Helicoverpa armigera (cotton bollworm)
Lineage: Eukaryota; Metazoa; Arthropoda; Insecta; Lepidoptera; Noctuidae
Exons: 4
Source: RefSeq, a predicted model, not a curated record